GACGAACCGUGCGAACGUUGUUCGGAAUCAUUGGGCUUAAAGGGCGCGUAGGCGGGCCGCCGAGUCCGGGGUGAAAUCCUCCAGCUUAACUGGAGAACUGCCCCGGAUACUGGAGGUCUCGAGGGGGGUAGGGGCAUGCGGAACUGUGGGUGGAGCGGUGAAAUGCGUUGAUAUCCACAGGAACUCCGGUGGCGAAGGCGGCGUGCUGGACCCUUUCUGACGCUGAGGCGCGAAAGCCAGGGGAGCAAACGGG
Molecule: ribosomal RNA, 253 nt
Filed under: uncultured bacterium
Lineage: Bacteria
Description: partial 16S ribosomal RNA
Rfam family: Bacterial small subunit ribosomal RNA
Source: RNAcentral